AAUUAGCCCGGAUAGAGCCGAUAUCCUCCCCCGACGUGAGGAGGGGGAGAUACAGGCGAAAGCCGGAGGGGUG
RNAcentral lists this unclassified non-coding RNA (73 nucleotides) under Flavobacterium fontis. RNAcentral describes it as "Flavo-1 RNA". The record is from RNAcentral. Lineage: Bacteria; Pseudomonadati; Bacteroidota; Flavobacteriia; Flavobacteriales; Flavobacteriaceae.